This 253-nucleotide ribosomal RNA is filed under the name uncultured bacterium. RNAcentral describes it as "partial 16S ribosomal RNA". It matches the Rfam family "Bacterial small subunit ribosomal RNA", at positions 524 to 776 of the family's 1533-position model. The record is from RNAcentral.
GACGAACCGUGCGAACGUUGUUCGGAAUCACUGGGCUUAAAGGGCGCGUAGGCGGGCGGUCAAGUCUGUGGUGAAAUCCUUCGGCUCAACCGGGGAAUAGCUGGAGAUACUGGCCGUCUCGAGGGGGGUAGGGGCAUGUGGAACUUCCGGUGGAGCGGUGAAAUGCGUAGAUAUCGGAAGGAACGCCGGUGGCGAAAGCGACGUGCUGGACCCUUUCUGACGCUGAGGCGCGAAAGCCAGGGGAGCAAACGGG